RNAcentral lists this long non-coding RNA (515 nucleotides) under Solanum tuberosum (potato). Its description in RNAcentral is "long non-coding RNA (STUB_LNC004995)". Lineage: Eukaryota; Viridiplantae; Streptophyta; Magnoliopsida; Solanales; Solanaceae. The record is from RNAcentral.
AGUUCAAUUAUUCCACUUGAUUGAUGUUAAAAUGAAUUCAGAAAAUGACAUUUUAAAAAGAGCAACAAUACCAUGAACUAAUGUAUAUGCUAGCUUCUUGAUUUUGGAUAUGAAUUACGAACAAGUAAUUGUUGAAUCUGUGCAAUUACCAGUACCCCCAAAUAAGAAAUUAUAAUCCCAGUAACCAUCUCGAGCAUUAUUCUCCUUUCCUUCGCAAUAACACCUAGAUCGAUGAGUUUGAACCAACGAUUCAUCGGGUUGAACUUCUUGAUCAAUGUCCACUCCAUACAUGACUUGACGCAUAUGACAAGUGAGGUGCAGAUUGUCAGCCUGAAAUUGACCAUUUCCCAUGGGUGGACUCACUGUUUCACCAGCUGGUGUGUAUCAGACCCGUUUCUCAACUCCUUAAAAAGAGUAUCAGGCCAAAAUCCAAUAGCAAACAUUGUGGCCAACUGAAGAUAGUACUCUGUGUGUUGCAAUUAUUAUUAAUAGAAGAUACUUGAGGUAAAUUUGAA